UGGGGAAUAUUGCACAAUGGGGGAAACCCUGAUGCAGCGACGCCGCGUGGACGACGGAGUACUUCGGUAUGUAAAGUCCUGUCAGCAGGGAAGAAAACGGACAGUACCUGACCAAGAAGCCCCGGCUAACUACGUGCCAGCAGCCGCGGUAAUACGUAGGGGGCAAGCGUUAUCCGGAUUCACUGGGCGUAAAGGGAGCGCAGGCGGCACGGCAAGUCUGGUGUGAAAGCCCGGGGCCCAACCCCGGGACUGCACUGGAAACUGCCGGGCUGGAGUGCCGGAGGGGUAAGCGGAAUUCCUGGUGUAGCGGUGAAAUGCGCAGAUAUCAGGAGGAACACCAGUGGCGGAGGCGGCUUACUGGACGGCAACUGACGCUGAGGCUCGAAAGCGUGGGGAGCAAACAGG
This 405-nucleotide ribosomal RNA is filed under the name uncultured bacterium. RNAcentral's name for it is "bacterial SSU rRNA". It matches the Rfam family "Bacterial small subunit ribosomal RNA", at positions 355 to 776 of the family's 1533-position model. The record is from RNAcentral.